This 72-nucleotide transfer RNA is filed under the name Actinomycetota bacterium. Its description in RNAcentral is "Actinobacteria bacterium tRNA-Val". Lineage: Bacteria; Bacillati; Actinomycetota. The record is from RNAcentral.
CAAGUGUUGGCUCAGCGCAAGAGCACCACAUUGACUUUUUGGGGGUCACUGGUUCGAUCCCAGUACGGUCCA